GGGGGGGGGGGGCGGGGGGGGGGGGGGGGGGGGGGCGGGCGGGGGGGGGCGGGGUGGGGGGGGGGGUCGAGGGGCGAGCGGGGGAGGAACACGGGAGGAACCUGCCCUUGACGUUGGGAUAGCUGCAGGAAACGGGGGCUAAUACCGGAUAGGAGCUCCUGCUGCAUGGUGGGGGUUGGAAAGUUUCGGCGGUUGGGGAUGGACUCGCGGCUUAUCAGCUUGUUGGUGGGGUAGUGGCUUACCAAGGCUUUGACGGGUAGCCGGCCUGAGAGGGUGACCGGCCACAUUGGGACUGAGAUACGGCCCAGACUCCUACGGGAGGCAGCAGUGGGGAAUAUUGCACAAUGGGCGGAAGCCUGAUGCAGCAACGCCGCGUGCGGGAUGACGGCCUUCGGGUUGUAAACCGCUUUCGCCUGUGACGAAGCGUGAGUGACGGUAAUGGGUAAAGAAGCACCGGCUAACUACGUG
Molecule: ribosomal RNA, 468 nt
Filed under: uncultured bacterium
Lineage: Bacteria
Description: partial 16S ribosomal RNA
Rfam family: Bacterial small subunit ribosomal RNA (bases 49-468)
Source: RNAcentral